AACCGAAGUCAUAUGCUUAACGACUGAGCCACCCAGGUGCCCCUUAAGUGAAAUAUUAAAAACAACUUCAUUAACUGUUCUUAGAACAAUGGUGUGGACGUGGCGGCCACGAUGCUGGCCCAGUUUCCCGGCUUGCAAGUGGGCCCCACUCUAAAGCUGUGGAGAGAGGGCACCUCUCUAGCUCCCUGUGCAGUUCUUCCCUGUGGUCUGGAACCAGGCCGUCUCUGCUCUGGGGAAGCAUCCAGAAGCGGCGUUUCUCAACAGGAUCCAUAGGUGGACUGAGAGUCCCUGCUGCUGGUCCUACACCAGCUUUGCAUUGCUCAGUGCUCCUCCCUUUGGACUCCCACGCGAGGAAUGCUGCUAAACGCGUCCGCUUUCCCACCUCCCCUGCCCUGCGCCCACAGCCAUCUGGUUCCUGGAGGCUGAAAGAAUACUCCUGUAUUGUCUCCAGGAUUUCCUUCCAAGCCACAGAAACCCAUACCAGAGUACCGCUUGGCUUGCAUAGGCAAUGAGAACUCCA
This is a non-coding RNA of Puma concolor (puma), 520 nucleotides long. The record is from RefSeq and is a predicted model, not a curated record. NCBI's taxonomy places the organism in Eukaryota, Metazoa, Chordata, Mammalia, Carnivora, Felidae.